Long non-coding RNA from Ornithodoros turicata, 1140 nucleotides. RefSeq lists it as uncharacterized. The record is from RefSeq and is a predicted model, not a curated record. The transcript is spliced from 3 exons. Lineage: Eukaryota; Metazoa; Arthropoda; Arachnida; Ixodida; Argasidae.
UGUAGACUCCUUUUGCCCCCUGUUAUGACUUGGUGCCAUAGCGGACGACACGUCAUCGGCCGCAUCCACGAGUAUAUAUGCUCCAGCGAAACCAGAGAUCUACUUGUACAGUAGGAACGUACCUUCACCGUCAGCAACCGGCUGGAAAUGAAAGCACCCGAACUCUGCUGUGCGUGAGAACCACGUCGACUUUGCGAGCCAAAGGCUUUGGGCACCGCGGCCCAUGUCUCUCGUUUCUACUCUGACCUCAUGUGAUAAACUUCUACGUCCCUAUCUUCCCUCGCUGAGUCUUCUUCGGCAUGCUACCACGCCACGAGUCGCAACACCCAUUACUUGCGCUGGAAUGUCAGCACAGGGCACCUGCUCUCUUAUGUCUUUCCGCGGAGGACAAUUUCUCUGUGCAUCUUGUACCAUGCUACCAGUUCGUGGUCUCCUCGGCAAAGUUCGAGCCACCAACCCUGGAAUCGAAAAGCGCUCCUGGCAGGCUGCUCCAUACGCUGACAUGCAUGGCUACCCGCCCAUCGGAUGCCGCGGAAACGAAGACAACGAAGCCAUGAGCCUUCCACUAUACUUCCACGGAAAGGAACAAGACGUCGCACAGAGCAAAGCCAAGGAAGUGUGGAAGCGCGAGAGCAACGGAAUGUUGUGUUUCAUCAGAAGUUCUUCUGUGGUGGAUUUCUUUGCAGGAUCGUUACUUCUCAAGGCGAUGUCUGCGCAGAGCGUCGAGGAAGCGUCGCGGGACCCUUUUGUGGAUUAAACAUCCGUCAUCAAUGGCAGGAGGAAGGUCUUUCUUGGCGUCAGUCGUCUUCGGGGAUCGACGUCCACUUUUGAAACAUGACUGCAACUCAAAUGUGUCUUCGAUCCAUUUGGGCUGGACACUUCGAAAGCUGUUUGCAGAGAUGUCACCGGAGCAGAAUGUAGGCAGCAUACUAGAGGGCAAGAAGCUUCACCAGGGUUGAAGCACACCUAUGAGGUCCCUGUUGGAUCCUUGUUCGUUUUACCCGCACAGCCCAUCACAUUUUCUGGGAAUAUACGGGCCUCGUUCAAAGAAGUGGCUAUUGUCCACUAAAAGCUGGUAGUUACACAAGGGGUGUGUUCAACAGUCGUUAGUAAUGCCAUUAAAUAUUGUAUACAUACGUA